This 67-nucleotide transfer RNA is filed under the name Anopheles pretoriensis. RNAcentral's name for it is "tRNA-Glu". Lineage: Eukaryota; Metazoa; Arthropoda; Insecta; Diptera; Culicidae. RNAcentral also lists the same sequence under 1 other name. The record is from RNAcentral.
AUUUAUAUAGUUUAAAACAAAACAUUACAUUUUCAAUGUAAAAAUAAAAAUUUAUUUUUUAUAAAUA